GGCAGUUGGGGGCGAAAAGUAUCUAAUGAGCAAAAAAAAAAAAAAAAAAAGUUGGAAGCAGACAGCUGGAAGACAUGCCUAUAGAAUUCCCCAAAUAAAAACUCUAGAGAGCUUUGGCAGCUUUUCACAGAAUUGCCACAGGGUCUCCGAAAAGCCAACAAGGAGGUAGAGAUGGCUAUGGUGAUGGUGAUCAUAACCAUUGAGCUGAUAACAGUGGUCCUUCAUGAUGGUGGUGACUGUGAUGUUAGUGACGGUAGCCAUGGUGGUGAUGGAGAAGAUGAUAUGCUGAUGGUGAGGGUGAUAGUGGGGACAGUGAUGUCAUGAUCUAAGUUGUUAUGUGGGUCAUAAGGGUCAUAAAGGUGGUGAUGGUGAUGAUAGUAUUGUUGUUAUUUUUAGUGGUGGUGGUGUUGAAAAGGGGAAGAAAUCAAGACCUAUAGGACUUGAUUACAGAGAAAGGAAAAGAAAAAAAGAUCUAUAAAGUAGGGAUAAUACAAUUUUUUAUUGCCCAGCUCCAUUAUAAAGACUCAUAGGAGAAAGGAAGCAUAACAUUUUUUAACUUGAGCCCCUGCUUUCAGAAUUCAAUCUGAUAAUUUUGGAUUCAGGAAAGACUCCAGGUUUUUUAUUUAGGAAGUGAUAUUAAUGGCUUAUUGGGUUUGAAAGUCAAGUGUUCCCAUCCACCUUCACUCUUGAUGGAAAAGGUCAGGGCUUCCUUAUUGAACAACUUCAGGGAGCGUUAUUCACUCAUAAGUGUUAAUGAUAUUCCUAACGGAGUUUAAUGCCCAGACUGAAGCUGUGCUUAAGACCUUGGCAUAACAGAGUAGGCUGUGCUGGUCUGAGAAACAGGCUGAACUCUGAAUUCAAGAAAGAGCUAAGAAGGCAGAAAGUUCUCUGAAGGGAAAGAACUGUGCCAACAACAGGAAGACAGUCUGGGCCUAGGGCUGUACAGACUCAGCAAGACAUUCCCAGCAGUGGGCAGUACGUGAAUUUAGAGAGGGAACUGUGAUAUCUAAAUUUUAAGUUGCUUACUGUUCUGAACUGUAUUUACCCUGUGUUAUUCCAAAGUCAUAAGUCUUACAACAGCCCUGAGUCUUAAAAAAUGCUGGAAAGGAGGCUAUGCCCACUCUUGGGGACAUGUGGAGAAGGAACAGGACAGAAGCCUGCAGGUGAUGGACAUCUGAACCAGGAGAGAAGCAUCAAGCAACCAGCAGGAAAAUGAAACUAUCCCGAAUUUAAGCACCCUUUGUAGAAAUUCAGGGAUGUAUGCUGGUCUUCCCAUAAAUAAGUGAGAUGAGAGGGAUUGAGUUAUUCUAUUGGGAUAAUCAAGAAAAGGGUGACCCUAGAAGACUGGAGAAUGUGGAGAUAUUUAGCUUCCUCACAUCUGCCUGUGAACGCAGGGGAUAGGUAUGAAAAUGGCCAGUGAGAUGAAGGCGAGGCGGUGGGGACCUUUCCGGUGUCUAACACUAGCCAACUUCCGGAUGGGUGUCAACGUGAUGGCUGCCUCUAAGGAUGAAGGUCAAGGAGUACAGAGACGAACCAAUGGAAGAAGAAACAGGGCUUGUGGCUCUUGGAAAGACUUUCCAAUCACCACCCAGGCACCACGUUACCACACUACAUUUUUAUUAUUUAUUUAGACCUAUAUCUUUACCACUAGACUGUGAGCUCCUGGAGGGGAUCUUUGUAUCUUCAGUACCUUUGUAUGAUGAACCCUCGAUCAGUAAUGUUUGUUGAGUGUGUGCAGAGGUGCAGAAGAAUUCCCAUUCUUAAGGAAUAAGGUGGAGAUUAGCUAAGAUAAGACAGGGAUAUAAAAAUAUAAGGCAGCUUAUGUCCCCAAACUGUCACUGUGCAUCACGGACCCACCCUAAGUGAUGGAGGGAGGAAAUGACUAUGACUCAGCAGACUGGGAUAUUUCACCACCAUCAGACGUGUUACAGAGGAGGUGGCAGGUAAGGCCCCAGGAAUUGUAAUUGUGUUUUUUAUUCACAGAUAACCAGAGUGGCAAUAAUUUAGUUGAUUGGGUCAACACAGACUGCAGGACUGGAAAAGUCUGAUAAAACACAAUCUACUUAAUGCCCAAUUAUGUGGUUUGUUUGCAUUUAUUGAACUGGAAAAUACCAAAUCCCUUUUCACUUGGCAGCGCAUGAAUAUUGCCUGCCAUACUAAGUGCAAAUCUUAGGCCAUAUCAAGAUAUCAGCCAGCUGACGAUGGAUUGCCCUUAAGCAGGCAUGACCUCCCCUGAAGACAAAGGUUAAUCCUAUUUUCUGUAUUUCAUAUGUUUGUACGGGUGUCAGUUUAUAAUGUCUCGAGUGUUGUUAAAUCUGGAUAGUGUUUGUCGAUUAACAUUCCUUUGGUCACAUUAAGCUUUGUAGGCUCUGAUGUAUAGGUUUGCAUUCUUGCUCUCUCUCUCUCUCUCCCCCUUUCUCAGCUCAGCUCUUGGAAAAUUCCUGCUGAACCAACAUAUUCACUUCUCUUUGGGACAGGGAAAUGGACCACAUAAUUUGAAACACAGUGAAUAAACAGAAGUGUGAGCAGAAUGCAAAAGCAGGAAAUUAAUGUUACUUUUCAAAUAGCAGAGGACUCUGCUUGGUGGAGAAAACCUUGAAUCCUAGCCCCAGCUUUUCUGAUAGCUUCAUCCAAGUUCCUUAACUCUUCUAGCCCUCGGUUUCCUCAUCUCUACAAUGAGUGGGUCAGAUCUCUACUGCCCCUUCCAACUCUGAUUCUAAGACAAAUUAUGGAAUAGUAAAUCUAUAGCUUGAACCAUUGAUACUAAAGACCUUGACCUUAGAGACAGAGUAUGCUUCAUACAGAAAGUCAACCAAUACUAGGCUGAGUGACUCCAAAGAGGGAUCUCAAAAAUAGAAGGUAGAAAUACAAGUCCAACUCCAAGAUUAUUUAUACUUGUCACACCAAGCUCCACCGGACUGUCCAACAUAUUUGCUGCCUGUACUAGAGCAACCCCCCCCCCCCCCCGGGACAGAGUCAAGUCCAGUUGUGAUUUCCAGAGUCCUGUCUGAAUUAUUCUGUCUCUCUCAGGUUCCUCUCUCUCCACCUCCACUAGCCAGGGCCCAGCCCUCUCCCUCCUUCUCCAAGAACAACAGAGGGUGUGUGACCUCAAGGGCCACAGAAGCCUUCCCUGAAACCUGACCUUGAGGACAAGGGACCCUGACCUGGAGGUGGCCCAGCCCUCGUCAGUAGCCCACUUUUUUAAAAAUUAUUUUUAUUGAUUUCAGAGAGGAAGAGAGAGGUGGAGAGAGAUAGAAACAUCAAUGAUGAGAGAGAACCAUUGAUGGGCUGCCUCCUGCAUGCCCCACACUGGGGAUCAAGCCCACAACCCAGGCAGAUGCCCCAACUGGGAAUGGAACCCUGACCUCCUGGUUCACAGGUCAACAGUUAAUUAUGGAGCCAUGUUGGCUGGGCAACGACGCACUUUUUAAUAACUUCCUCCCCUGUGAUCAGGUGCUGUUGGCACAGAUAACAGGCCUGCCGCCUGGUAAGGCUCCUGGGAUCCGGACUCUGGCUUUCUCUGCUGGGCUCACGCUGCCGUGUAAGACCAACAGCCUAGCAAGUGUCCAAGACACCUUUCAUCUGAACCCGCUUCACAGAGGGGUAGACUCUGCCAAGAACUGAUGACAUUCCCUUCUCGGAUGAUAGGCUCAAAGCUGCUAUCCACGCGCUGACCGCUGAGGGCGAGCGGUUUCUCUUGGCUCCUCCUCUGUAGGGUUGUGCUCUCUGACUCAGCUUCACACGCAGCUGUUCUCUGGGGUGUUGUUACCAUGGCUUCUUUCUAAUGAGCCAUUUGUCCUUCCUGCAGCCCCAUUGGCAUCAAACCGCAGGCCGCUCCCCAGGCUCUGCCCCUGCCAGAGUCUCACAGCCACCUUGAUGCUGAUGGAAAUUUUGCCUCCAAGCGAAUUAAUUCCUCACGAUUCCACUGGAUCCAUAUUUAAUGCAUUUUUUAAAAAUAGAUACUGAAUGUCAUUUCCACAGCUAUUUCGGGUUAUUGACAGCAAUUUUUCUUUCAAAUAAAACUUUUAUAUGCACAAAUGA
Molecule: long non-coding RNA, 4041 nt
Organism: Myotis myotis
Lineage: Eukaryota; Metazoa; Chordata; Mammalia; Chiroptera; Vespertilionidae
Exons: 2
Source: RefSeq, a predicted model, not a curated record